UGGGGCCAGGAGUAUAAUAACAGUGUAAUUUUGGAACUGGAAUUUAGAUAAAAUCUGUUUAGAAGUAUCAGACAAAGGAAAACUGUUUUAUUUUUUUCUUUUAAGGCAGGUUUAUUUAGAAGCUUUGAUUAUUUUUAUUUUUCCCUCCUAAUAAAAGAUUAAGGUUAACUGCUAUAGUUUCAGACCCAUAUUCUAUGAAAUCUUGUCCUGAUUGUGAUGGUAGCUUCUUAUGGGAAUUAUUUCUGUCAUUGUACCACUAUGUACUAUACGCAUUGCACCUGUUCACACAGAGUACAUUGCAUUGUGAUGUUUGUACAGCUAGAUGCUUCAAAUGAGAAGCCAAUCUCCCUUCUUCUAGGGUCCUAGCCUAUUAGUUACUUAAUUAAGCUUAAUUCUGUUCUGGCCUGUAAUUUUGUAGGUCUGCAAUUUUGUAUAUGGUCUUGAUUUAUUAACUGAGCAAUGAUUUCUUCUUUGCAGUUACCAGUUUUGUCUGAGAUCAGUUUUCCUAUUGUUUGGAGUCUGUUUCUUACAGAGCCUCCUUUAAGACUGCUCUGACUUUAAAAUCAUUACUAGGCUUUUGUCAGAGCAGAUUUGUUGACAUUCUUCACAUAUUAAAAAAUUAAUUUAAAAGAUUGCACAAAUAAGCUAUGCAUUUCACUUUCUUCCUUAUAUGCAAAAAUGUAUUUAUGAUAAUUACAUGUACUGCCAGAACUGAAACAAUACAUUCUUCAUAAUGGAGCAUAAAUAAAGAAGGUGGAGCCAGCUGCUCUUAAACUGUUUAUUUCCAAGCAAUAAUGAUAGAGAGAAUAUACCUUUUUCACUCUGUAAGUCUGGAAAUACUGAACCUGUUGCUGCAUUAGACGAGUUGCAUUUUGCUGGAUAGGGGAAGGAGGGCUGUCUGCUGUCUGGUAGGAGGGCUUUGUCUGUGCCUUUCUCUCUGUUUCUUUCUGUUUUUCUUUCUCUCUCUCUCCCCUCUUCUCUCUCUCUUACUCGCUUGCUCUGUCUCUGUCUCUCUCUCCCUCUCUUCCCUCCUCCCUCCUCUCUCUUGCUCUCUCUCUCUCUUCCCGUCUCUGUGGUUUGUAAGGUAGGUUGCAGUGUGUGUAUAUACACAACAUCAAGAGCAGGAAAAUGGACUCAUUAGGGAGGCAGGCAGUCAUUACCACUCACACUGUACUUCCAGGGAGACACCGAUUAUAAGAAGAGAAACUCAGCGCUGGGGAAGAAGAAAAGGAUACUAUAGCUCAGAGAGGUGAAGUGAUUUACCCGUUCAAAAUAUUAUUACGCUUCUGGGUCAUCUGUAUGACAGUACUGAUCAUGACAUCUGACUAUUGCUGAUGACAGUGGGAAGAUCAUCUCCCUCAUUCUGGAUACUGUUAUUCUGCCAGAAUACCUGAUAAAUUGAAAGUUUGUGCCCCAUAGCUGCACAGGGUCUCUCUCUGUCACCCAAGCUGGAGUGCACUGGCACGAUCUCGGCUCACUGCAAUCUCCCUCCACCUCCUGGGUUCAAGCUGUUCCACCUCAGCCUCCCAAGUAGCUGGGACUACAGACUGCCCGAAGUUACAUUUAGAGACUGAAAUCACUGCACCUUAAAAACAAAAGAUUGAGCUGCACUGUAUUCCUCUUUCUUGGUAUCCACUUAAUAGAAGUCUAACUGAAAGAUACCCAGAAGUGAGCUCAUCUUAGACGGUGUUCCUGACUGUGCCAUUCUAAAUGUUCUUUGACCAUCAGUCUGUGACCUGCCCUUUCUCUUUACAUGUUGCUGUGGAAUAUUUAUGUCAAUAGUCUUCUGAUUCCUUCCUCCUCUAUACAGCUACUCUCUGUUCCCUGCCCCAAUGAACAUCUUCACUAGGCCCAAGCCUUGGAGUGAUUUACCUGAAGAGUGACACCAUUUAUUCUGAAACUACUGAAGAAACCCAAGACAGCUGAAAACCAGAAGGCAUCUGAGGAGAAUGAGAUUACUCAGCCUGGUGGAUCCAGCGCCAAGCCGGGCCUUCCCUGCCUGAACUUUGAAGCUGUUUUGUCUCCAGACCCAGCCCUCAUCCACUCAACACAUUCACUGACAAACUCUCACGCUCACACCGGGUCAUCUGAUUAACAAAUGUAAAAUUCUGCAAAGAAGGCAAGAGACAAAUUGGUCCAGGAGAUUCCAUUCUCUACUUGCUUCAUCCUGAUAGUCUUUGAAUAGAGGGAAAUGACCUGGGGCAGGGUUGAGGUGAAGGGAGCUUGUACUACCUAAGGCUGGACUAAGACCAUCUAGCCGUCACUGGAAAAUAAAAAGGGAAGUAACGUGAGCCAAAUAUCUGUGGCCCAAGAGAUUUGAACAAAGUUGCGGCUUCUAUAGAGAAACCAGGGGGCAGGAGCAGGGAUUGUGUCCUGAGGACCGUCCUAACAGUCACGUCCUUGGACCUUCUUGCCUGGCAGUCUCCAGCGUAAUAGUAAAGACAGAACUGGAAAGUAGCAUGGCACAGUGCCCACAGGCAUGUGCACACCGUCCCUUCCCACCAGGAAAACAGCCCGUUCGUGUAGUGAAUGGGCUAUUUUCUACAUGCAAAUCUUCAUUACCUGGCUUUAUGCCACACCUUAUGGGUGUGGAUUACCUAGAAUUGCCUUGGCCCAGAAAUCUUCUGUUACUGCAAAAAUAAAUGUUUUGCUGAAUAGAAAAAGCAUUGGGUUUCAUAUUGUGCUUUAUCAUGAGCAUCCUCUGGCCAGGCCCUAGCAUUAGCAUGAAGUACGUUUAAGGAAGAGUGUGAGUAUGGUGUCACCAUACAUCUCCUUGGUGGCCCUGAGGAAGUCAGUGGAUGUGAGCUCAGUUGGAAGAAAAAACGAGGAGGGGAAACCUGAUCUCCAGCUGUUUAGAAAGUCACUUUGAUUUUUCCAUUAAGAUGUGUAAGUCUGCUCUGUUCCAACCUGUUGUUUAAAUUGAUUAUACUUUUCUCCAAAUAUAUUUGGACUGUAGUUUGUCCUGAUUUGAGCCUACACUUAGAAGAAAAUUGUUUUUAGGAAAGAUUCACAGAAAUCUGUCCAUUUGGAGAUUGCUUGAGAGAAGACAGGAAAAAGGUUUAUUUUAAGCUGUUAAAAUUUUUGGAUGCUCUUCUUGCAUUCAAGAGGAUUUUUUUUUUUUUUUACUUUCAAAUGUCAUUCUUACCAUAGAUUAAUUUAAAAGCCUAAUUUCUUUAAGGUAAAAUAUUCAGUUCCUAUUUAGAACUAACAGAUUUGGGGCAUUUAAAAAUAGUGCCCUUGACUUGUUAGUCUCUUUAACUUCAGAAACAUUCCACCAGUGUGUGGUGUUCCAAGCUUUCACAAGUGCCUGAAUUUUUAUAGCACCUUUUUAUUUGUCAUGUGUUUAGCAAAAUUAUUCUUAGUCAAGAUUUAAUGCCCAUUUCCUGUCAGUAUGAUCCUUCCCAAUUUACAGAUGAGAAAACUGAGAAAAUUGACACCCAGGUAGAUGAAAGACUUGCUUGUGGUUAACUCAUUUGAGUGUUUAUGGAUUUGCUCUCAUUGUGAGAGUGUUUCUUACUGGAAUUCUCUAUCGAGCCCAAAGAUGGCAUUCCUGGCUCUGAACAGGCAUCUUCAAAAUGUGCAACUACUCAUAUUGGUGACUGGGUUGUAAAACAUGAUGGAUAAAGCAUCCUUACAAAAGAAAAGUCGGCUCUGCAUAGGAACUGACAUGGGUGGGUAGGCCACAGUCUUUUUUGCAUAUGAAGGACACAGGCUGUUUUACAGCAAAGAUGACAAGUCUGACCCCUUAAAUUCUCAGUUGGCUAUUUAACCUACUGCGCCUCUUCAAAUUUGGCAAAAGAUCCCAGUAAUACUCAAAACAAGAAGAAAUACAGUUGAGAUAUGCUUUCUUUUGUGGGAUGAUGAGGUUAAUAUUGCUGCUAAUAUGUAUGUUGCUUUCCAGUGUGGCUACUAACACAAUUUCCUUUUAGCAAUAUUCCCCCUUUACCUCCUAGCUUAUCACCUCUUCACCAUUGCUGAAAGCUAAUGGUAAGCAAAUUCAGAUGGUGAUAAUGGAAGGCAUUAAGAUGAGUUAUGGAAUCUGAAGGGUAAAAAACACCCUAGGUGUUUGACAGAGAAGUUACCCACUAAACAGGCUGAAUAUGAGCUGAGCCAAGUGCUCCCUUUAAAUGCUUAAGCAGGACUAAACCAAGUCAGUAAAGCAGAUGAAGCUCUCCAUAUGAAAAACCUUUCUUGACAGCUAUCAAGCUGUAGCACAUCACAGUCAUAUACAUGUGAUAGACGUGACCAGAACUUUUACUUGCAUAUUUCUUCCAUUUUGUUUUACCCCAAAUAAGGCUCCCAUUGAAAGAAGUGAUUUUCCUCUCUGCGGCAGUCCUCGCUACUUCUGCUGUGGAGCCACCUAUUCUGAUGUCUUUCUUUUGUUGGAAGCUGAUAUCCGUGGUGACUUACCUUCCUAUGUUUUACACCGGCCUCAUCAGAUUGUCUCUUUUUUUGUGUCCUUGCCAAGAUGCACUUACCCAUGAACAGUUUUUAUUUAUUUUUCACUGAACCUUUACACAUUACCAAACUGUCAUGUGGGUGGAUUUAACUUUAGCUCUAUAGGUAGCAUCACUCUGCUGGGGCUGGACACUCACAGAGGCCGGUGGGCUCUCCCUUUUCCAACUCUUGCCAUCCGCCUUCCUUGGCCUCCCCCUCCCAACCAUUUGCUUUACCCGCCCAAGUCCCUGUGAUUAAAAUUUUUAGUACACUUGGCUCAUUUUGAACUUUUAAGCAAUUUUUUAGAGAACAAAACAAAGAGGAUUUUUAUGGCAAACUCCAUUAAUGCCACAUUAAGGCUGACAUUUUAAUUACCCCAAAGUCAGGAAAUGCAAAGUUCAGGUUCCCACAGCAACAGAAACUGUCCCCUUGAGUGCUGGCAUCACAGCAGAUUCUUUCAUUCCCUGAUUACACAACACCGGGCGUGGGGACAUUGUUUUUAUCCACGUAUGUGGAAAGGAACACAGCUUUUAUCCUUUCAUUUUUUUUUCCUGUAACUACAGUUGAGGAUAUGGGUCUUUAGCUUCCCUCCCAAAACCAUCUAUAUGUAUUAUCCUGGAACGGAAGACUAUUAUAGCUCUACAUGUGCACACGGACAGAAUUAAAGUUGCUGUGGGAACAUUAACUCUGAUUUCCGGACUUCCGUGCCAGUCACAUUUAAACCAUAAUGUUGUAAUUUUUGGCAUGUAAUAAAUGUGCAUUUCAUGUACACAGACAGAAAGAAGCAUAAAAUGUAUUUUAAAGAGCAAUUAAUUACUAACUUUGUGAUUAAAAAACAUUUGGUGCAUGUUCCUUCCCAUUUAGCAUCAGCUGCUGGUCUUAGCCAGGCCUAAUAGAUGACAUACUGUGUCUCAUCCUGUAACUCAGAUGUACUUACUGUAUGUUCCUGUUCUUCCAGAUAAUUAAUUCCCUUAGUAAAGCUGUAGGGGGAAAACAAAAUGGAAGGAAUAUGCAAGCAUGUAAAUAGGGUAAGGGAUAUUUUGAAAGAAAUGAUUCAUUUCUGAAAAUAAACCUUUUAGUCCCUGAUAAUGAGCCAGAAAUCUGCUAAGUGGGUGUAGACAAAGGUUUCUGGCCACCUUAGAGCAUCUGGUUCUGGGCCAUAAGAACAACUUGAAAGCAGAUUUCCCCUUGAAUUCUAGGCAUGCCCACUGGGGGAGUAAUUUUACUCUAAAAACUUUUAGGCUUAAGGCUUAAAAAGUUAUUUUACUCUAUAACAAUUUUUAUUCUGUAACAACUUUUUUAUGCUGUAUUCGAACUGGAAAGUAAAAGUUAUAGGGCACCGGUAAGAUGAGGGUUUUGCUAAAGAACCCCUGACUUAAAGAGUAAUGUUUUUUCUUCCUUUACAUUUAAAUCUGGUUUACCUAUUUGUGGUAGAGAAGGAAGUGUUUCAAAAUAACUGAACGGGUUUGUGAGUGAAAGGAAUUAGUAGCAAUAGUCUAUGGUGCCAUAUUUAAAAAUGUGAAUGCUUGAGUAUAUAUUUGAAUCCAGAUGAGAUAAACAUUUUACUGAAAGGAUGUAUAGCUUAAACUCUAGGAAAGACUUUAAGGGAGACACGCUCAAUGAAGAACCUCUUGCUGUCUGUUCGUUCUGUCUCCUUUUGUGUAUUUCUUUUUGAUCAAUUUGGUUGCAUAUGAUAUUUAACCUUUAAGAAAGAUACAUCAGUUUUAGAAGGCUCUGAUUUGCUUUUACUUGGGCUGUCUCUAUGUGUGAAUGUAAGUCUGUAUGAGUGAAAACUGCUCAAGCAAGUGUGAAGGUCUCUCUGGCAAAUUUGACUGCACGUUCAGGAAGUUUCCAAUCAGAAAGCUGAUUCAGUGUAAAACCUUCCAAAAACUUCCUGAGGCACCUGUUCACAUGAAAAGAUUGGAUUCCUGUUGGAGGUGCUCAGAAGGCAGUGUUUACAACUGAAGAUCUCUGUUUGGUGUGCCAAAAAAUGAAAAACAUUUUGGCCCCAGAAAAUCUCCAUAAAUGUUCAAAAUGUAUAAUCAAACAAAAGCUUCAUUUGGAUUCAAAUGCAUGUAUCUCAGCAGAUGUGUCUAAACUAACUGGAAUCCCACAGGAGCAGCUGAACUGGAUUUUGGUAUGUCUUGAUAACUGAAAGAGUUAUUCUUAGACUUUGGAAGGACAAAAAUGGUCCAUCUGUGAAGAACCGUAAUAGAGACAUGGCAAAAAACAGCAUCCUCUGAAAGAGUUUAUUUAUGGAAUUUAGGACAAGUUGGACAAUCCUGAAAACAUUUUAGGGUCACACUAAUUUGCAGAGAAAAUAUAGCCAAAAUGGAGUGGAAUAACAGCCACAGACAGUUACUAUCCAAUGGCUUGUUAUUAAUUUUUUAAUAAAUUCCAUAUCAGUUAAGCAAUAAUAGAGCAUUUUGGUAUGACUAAGUGCGCUCGUUGCCCCAAAAGUAUCCUGCAUUCUGGUUUAUUCUAUGUCCUGUAAGGACUUAAAGACUUAUCUUUUCAUUUAAACUGUUUUUCUGUCAUUUCGUUAGCCAAGUAAGACCCUCAUCUGUUAAGUGUGGAUUUUAUGUCAUUAAAGAUAGUCUUUCCCUUUUUAAAAAGUCACCUUUCUACCUCUUAGUUAAUUGAUAUAUAAUCUCUUUGGAAUUUUUUCGUUACCUUUUAUGCCCUUUAUUUAGAGAUUUUAGUGAGUGCUUAGUCUAGCACUUACACAUUAGAAAGCCAGUUCAUAUUUUUUUUUCAUGUGCUCUAAUUUCCUAGAGUUUCCACUUCAUGUAUUUGGGGACAUGCUUAUUUUUAAAAAGCACAGGUCUUGAAAUUUUGUAUCUUAAUCUACCUCUGCUUUUAAAAUUGGCCCUCUUUUUAUAAAACAUAUUAUUUCCCUAUAAUACCAAUUUAAUUGGGUUUCUUCCUUGGUCACUUAAUGCAGUAAUUUCUAGUAGUCAUUCUUAAUCAUUCAUUCAUUUAGUAAUUAAUUCAGUCAUUGAUCAAUGUUAUCUAACCCCUCCUUCUGCACCAAGUCCUCAACUAAUGUUAGGGGUGAGAAGAGAAAUAAGAUCCCAUUUCCAAAGUUUAGGAACAUAAAGGGGUAAAUACAAACGCAGAAUUAAAGUGUUCCAGUAUGCACAGAAUGCUACAGAGCUCCUGAGGAAGGAGCCUAUUGCAGUGGAAAGAGCUCCACACCAAAAAUGCCAUUAAACUGGAUCAUAAAAAAGUGGGCAUUUGUAAAGUCGAAGGCAGAAGGAAUGGCAUUCCAGGUAGAAGGAACAGAAAGAAGCAAAACUACUGAGGCUCAAGGAAAGCGCAGAGUUUUCAGAACACAGAACAGUUCAGUUAUGACACUGAGGCCUUCUUAUACUUUGCCUCAUUUUAAUCAUGGGACAAUUUGUAUUUGAGUAACAUUGUCUGUUGUUAUAAUUCAGGUGAGCUGACUCCUAUGUCCAUUUCAGAGAUACUUGCUUUCCAAAUAUGUAAUAAAGCAAGACACCCACUUUUUUUUUUUUUUUUUUUUUUGAGAAGGAGUCUUACUCUGUCACCCAGGCUGGAGUGCAGUGGCAUGAUUUUGGCUCACUCCAACCUCCACUUCCCGGGUUCAAGUGAAUCUCCUGCCUCAGCCUCCCAAGUAGCUGGGAUUACAGGCACAUGCCACCGUGCCCAGCUAACUUUUGUAUUUUUAGUAGAGAGAGGGUUUCCCCAUGUUGGCCAGGCUGGUCUCAAACUCCUGGCUUUGUAAUCCACCCACCUCGGCCUCCUUAAGCACUGGGAUUAUAGGCAUGAGCCACCACACCUGGCCCCACUUAUUUUCUAAUAGGCAAAAGCACCCUUUCGUCCACAAAGCCAGUCAAAGUAAGAAAGUAUUCUGAGGGACCUAGUGAUGAUUUUGAUCAGUAAAUCUCAAAAUAAAUUUUCUUUUUCUUUUUUGUUUAAAUAGGGUCUGGCUAUAUUGCCCAGGCGGGGGUACAGUGGUGCAAUCUCAGCUCACUGCCACCUCUGCCUCCAGGGCUCAAGUAAUCCUCCUACCUCAGCCUCCUGAGUAGCUGGGAACAUCACAUCCAGCUAGUUUUGGGGGGUUUUUUUGUUGUUGUUUUGGUAGAGACGAGGUUUUGUCAUGUUGCCUGCCUGGUCUCAAAUCCUGAGCUCAAGCAAUCUGCCUGCCGUGGCCUCCCAAAGUGCUGAGAUUACAGGCAUGAGCCACACCUGGCUGAGAAUAACUGGUUAUUGAGACAAGUUCAUUCCUGGAGCCAGAGUCACCUACAGGUGUCAUGCUAGAACUUUGUCAUUGAUUUGUGGCCCCUCCAGACUCUUAAUCGUCUGUCUUCUUGUGAAAUCCUCCCAGGUCCCUUGGCAGGUCUGGUCUCAAUGCUCAUUGGCCCAAGUUACUACACUGUGCCAUAUUGCUCUCCAAACAUUGCAUAGAUAUGAUUGUCCAUAUGCAAUUGUUAGGGCCCACCACUGAUUUUCAGGGUUCUAUUCUUCAUCUUGCCAUCUCAUCACAUGCAGGAAUACAUCUUUAAUUCUUAACUACAGCCACUAGUGACAGUUUCAUGUAUGCUUCCUCUGAUCGUGGCAAAUUUCAUUAUAUAAAAUUAGUGCUUCUCCAUAUCUGUCAAGACUUCUCACAUCCUUAUUAAAAUAAAAGAAGCCACAUGCACUACUGCCCUUAGAGUUGGAUCAUUUAGGAUUGAUUGAGAGCAUGCAUGAGGAUUCUUUAAGGACUUCUUGCUUUAAGGAAAUUUCAAGUCGGUUCUUUCCACCAAUCACCUUACACUAGGUACCAUAAUCAAGUACCUUAUUACUUCAUCAGCAGAAUGAGCACUUUAUGGUUUCUUUUCUGCUUUUCUUCUGCCUCUGAACCCUUUAUUCUCUCUGAGGAAUGUGUACCAAUUCUAACUUUUUAUCAGCAAUGCAAGAAGAAAGUUUACCUGGUCUAUACCCAUUAUUGUACACAUGAGAAAACUGGAAGUGUUAUCAAAAAACUUUCACAGCAUAAUGAGUAACAGAGUCAGAAACAGAAUCCUGCCCUUUCUCCCAUCAUUUAUGCUACCUGCUAAAUUUAAGUCUGCUUCUGGGCAAAUUUAAUGUUUUCUGAACAGAAAGGAGUCAGGACUAUUUAAUCCAUCGAUAUAGUAGAUGCUUUCAAUGUGGAAGACCACAGGCUAAUUAUUGUGCAAGAUGCAGUUUUAUAAACUGAAGCUCUAUGCUCAGACUUAGAGUUUUAUUGAGAAGAUCAGAUAACAUUCACAAACAACUUCCAUGCAGAGUGGUUAAAGAUAUGUCCCUGUACACAGAGACCCACCAGAGCAUUGAUUCAUUCACUCAGCAAGUAUGUAUAGAAUAUAUCUUUUGUGCCUGACACUACAGUGAGUUCCAUGAGGUCACAAAGGUGGAGAAAAACAGACUCCACCACCAAGAAUCUUAAAACAAUACAUGUCCUCACAUCACCAGUAUCUGAGAAUUUAGAAAGUUUGUAAAGUAAUAUUUUAAUCCAGUUAACAGUAAUAUAUAGUUAGGUUUAUUAGAGAUGGUUCCAUUUGAGCUCUUUUGAAAGACUGGAGGUGAGGCAUUAGGAUUAGGUAUGAGGGGUUUGCACUUUGCUGCAGAGCUGUAGAAGGGUAUUAAGUAGGGCCUGCCAUGAUCAAGACUUUAGGAAGAUCUAAUUUAGCAGCCUGGAUGUGAGAAGGAGUGACCAUGAUCAAGACUUUAGGAAGAUCUAAUUUAGCAGCCUGGAUGUGAGAAGGAGUGACCCUUGAAAGGGACCAGACAGCACUGUCAGUAGUUUACACUAUUGGUGACCUGAAGAGGGCUGGUAAUAAGAGGGAUGUGUAGCAUGCAUGCAACAGAUUUUGAGGAUGAAGGUAGACAGCUCUGGGAGCUGAGUGUUGGGUACAACAAGGGCAGUUAUCAAAGAUAACUUCAAGAUAUCAAGAAAAGAUGAAAGGCAUUUAAAGGAAUUGAAUAGAGUUCCAUUUCAUAUAGUGCUGAGUAUGAGCUACCACACAUGUUCCCAGGGGAGACAACUAACAGAGUUGCAAACAGGGUCCUGGGGCACAGCAGGAAUACUUGAAAUUAGGACUAGCAAACACUUUGGCCAGGAGGCCACACUACAAGUCAUAAAUAUGGGAGUAAACUUCAAAGUAGUCUUUGUUAAGAGAAAAAAGGAAAGCAAAAUCUUGGGAAAUAUUUACAGGAGUGAUAAGCAAGAGAAUGAAGAAUGAAUAAAAAGAGGAAAAGAAAAGGGGGGGUCGAAGAGAGAGGAGAAAAAACAGGAUAGUGCAGAAGGACCAUCAGGGAGAGGAAGGGUCAGCAGUUAGUAUCAGGUGUCACAGAUACCAACAAGGGAGAGACCUAGGAAGAGAUUACCUUGGGUUCUGGGAUUGCCAGCUUCCUGGUUGCUGCUAAGAAAGCAGAAUCAGAUGCGUCACAAAAAAGACCAUAAAGAGGGGUUCAGGAGCAAACAUAGGAUAAAUGGGAAAGCAACUAUUACAAUGUACUUUUUAAAGAAGUUUAAUGUUUUAAAAAGAAACAAGGAAUGGGUAACUCACAAGUGGAGUAAUGAAUAUUUUUAUGAUACAAGAGUUUCUAGCCCAUUAUAGACUGAGAAAAACCAGUGUUAAGGGAGGCUCUGCAAUUAAAUAGGCAAGGUGAGAGGGAACUAGAUCUUCCAUUUCACAGGGCAAUUGCAAUGGUCAAUAUAUGUAAAAGGAAUUUGAAGGCACUGCCCAAGCCCAAUGAGGCAGUAAUUAAAUUAUAUUGUUUCUUUACUUCUUUUCAAAAUUGCUUUCUCUUCUUUUUAACUAAUGAGAAAUAAUGUUUUGCAAGAAUUAUUACUUCGCAAAUAUUCACUCAGUUCCUUACCCUCAGUGAUCUCUGAACACUAAGUAGAGGAUAGGUGUCAUACACUUUGAGCAUUUAAAUUAUCUUAACAAUUUUUAAAACCAUUUUUAAGAACAAUUGUUGUUUUUAAAACAACAAUUAAAGCCUAAUCCUUUAAAAGCCAUCUUCUGUGUACUUCUUUCAUGAUAUGCCCAAUUCAGGUAGCUCUGUAAUUACCAAUAACACACCUAUGUGUUGUUCUCAAGUCCUCCUUCAUUGUCAUGAGACAUCAUCAAAUUCGUCAUUUGUAGGGGGUUUUGAAUUUGUUUUGUUAAACUAUGCUGCUUUCUGUGAUGGUCCAAGACAUUCCAAAGGCCACUGCCACCUGGACACAAAGUAUCUGAUAUACUUCUACUUUAGGAUGGUGAUCUGGAACCAACUGAAUCAAAUGUUACUUUGUUCUAUUAGUAAAUUACCUGUAAAACUAAAUAAGGAGGUUAUUUUGUCACUGCUGAAAGUUAUAUAAAUAAUCAUAUGGAAGAAUUUUGAACAUGAGUCUUAUAAUCUCACAAGGCCAAAUGAAUUCAUUGUUGAUGUCAAAAUUGACCUUGAGGAGUUUUCCUUUCCUCUCCAAUUCUAAAAAUGAGUUUCCUCCUACUUAUUUAUCCUCACUAGUUUUAGCUUGGUUAUGUUAUCAGUUUUACACCAAGAUAUUAGACCAAAGUGUACAGAAUUUUUAAGAAAGUUUGGGUGGCGUGCAGAAUAUUACACAGAGAAUUUCAAGAAACAAUAAUUGAAUUAACUUUGUCAUUCCAUUUUUUUUUUGCUGUAUUCACUUUCUUUCCUAUGUAAUCACUUACUUUCUUUGUCUCGUAUCUGAACCAGGAAUUUAGAUGUAAAGGAGAUAAUGAAAGGUGCGUGUAAGUUUGAACUACAAAACAUAACUCUGUAUCUAAUGGAAAAGACACGUGCAAAUUCUGAAAUAAAACUUUUAGAAGUUAACCCCAGAGGAAAGGAUGCACACCAUUUUCUGGGGGAAAUACUGUAGGUCUUUACAUGUAGGCCUGAAUGGACUUUUUCCCAUUUUUAGGAAACCUCAGAAAUCUGGCCCUUUCCAUUUUAUUCUUGACCUAAAGGUCCCAGAUGGGUGACUAGAUCCUGGGAUUCCUGAAAUGGCCUAAGUAAUUCUGGGUUGACAUGCUGACUGGCACUGCAAAGCAGGCCUGGUUUCACUGAGCAGUGAUACAGGCAAAGCAUAGGCCCACCGCCCGGCCCUGCUCCAGAUUUUGGACUCCACUGGUACCAUGUCUGGGCCUUUCUCUUAGAGGUUCGUAUUCUUUCCUGCAUGUUGUUCUGGGACACUGGUUUAAAGAUUUUGUUGUAUUGGGGUCAGAGAACUGAAAGAAGGAAAAAACCACUUCCCCAGGACAUAUCCUAAUCAGAAUCUGCAUCCUCAAACCUGGCCCCCAAGAGUGAACUAAGCAAGGAGGAGAAGUCCCUGUGACUAUCCCAAUGCAAAGUGGCUCCUGAUACCCUCUGGGAUCCCUCCAAUAUGCCUUCGGGGCAGGGGCAGAUAUGAUAACAGGCUACUAAAGCUGUUUCUUGAACAUGUUCAUAAUGGACUAAGAUGGGGCUAUGCCUUAUUUUCCAAUAUUCAGAAAAUAUUUUUUCACACCUAGGGUCUAGUUAUUUGCUUUUAUUGACAUGAACUUCAGCCUAUAAAUGCAUUUUAUGUGCCUUUAAUUAACCUCCCUAUGUUUCCAUUUCCUCAUGUGCAUAAUCGCAUAAUGAGAAUAAAAAUAAUAUCCAUCUCAUAGGGUUAUUAGAAGGAUUCAGUGAAACACCAUAUGUAAGGCCCUUAAAGCAGCACCAGAGAAACACCCAGCACUCCAUGUUGAGUGUAGGCUACAGUUGAAGUGUUUUAAAAUUACUAAUAUGAACUAAAUUGAUAAAAGAAAGCAAAAUCAGUUGUGUCACAAAAAAAGACCAUGGAGAGGGGUUCAGGAACAAACAUAGGAUAAAUGGGAAAGUAACUAUCACAAAGUACUUUUUAAAGAUGCUUAAUGUUUUAAAAAGGAUUUUACAAAGGAUAGGUGCACUAUCCUUUCCCUGUGAGAAUGAUAAUGAAAAGCCCUAGAUCUAUAGGAGAAGAAUGUGUGUAAGAGAGUUACCUCCUUCACUUCAAGGAAAAGCCAGUGCCCCUCUGUUUGUCCCUUCUUGGAUUCAAACCUACGUAGACUGGGAAGCUUCUCCAUUAUCUCUUUGCCUUCUUUUAUCCUACCAUUUGUAUUGUCUUUUUUUUUUUUUCUAAAAAUGAAAGAGGACUGAUAUGCAUCAUCUUAUUCUUACAAAACACCCCAUUUUACAGACAAGGAAAUUGGAACUCAAAUAAGUUUCAAAAUCUCUCUGAAUGUUGUCUUCUUGGCAUAGGGAAGGGUUAGAGAAUUAUUAAUAUUAUAGCAUUACAUUCUAGUGUUAAUCUAUUAAUUUCCUUCUUGUCUUCAAGUGUAUUCUAGUGAAUAAGAGAUUUUCAAGCUGUGCCCAGCGGCUCAUGCCUGUAAUCCCAACACUUUGGGAGGCCAAUGUGGAUGGAUCACUUGAGCCCAAGAGUUAGAGACCAGCCUAGGCAACAUAGUGAAACCCCGUGUCUACAAAACAAUUAGCUGGGCAUAAUAGUGUACACCUGUAGUCCAGCUACUUGAGAGGUUGAGGUGGGAGAAACACCUGAGCCCAGGAAGUCAGUAAGCCAUGAUCAUGCCACUGCAUUCUUCCAUGGGUGACAGACAAAGACCCUGUCUCAAAAAAAAAAAAAAAAAAUUAAAAAAACGGAGAGAGAUUUUCAAAUUAUAGGGAAUGGAUAUAUGUGCUAUCUUACCUCAGAACACAUUGUAGGAUAUGUGCAUUCACCUAUGUGCACCCAUCUGCAAUCUGUCCAUUUCACCUUAGGUGCCCUUUCACCAAAGCACCUUCCAGCUGGGAUACCCAAAGAGAGCAAAUCAUCAGAUCUUUAGAAUGAGCAAACUUCUAUGCUACCAUAUUAGAGAGCCUUUUGCAAAGAGAAAUACUUACAAGUGAAGAAAUCCAUCUUUUAUUUUUUUGAAAGUCAGUCUGCUUGAUGGUUUGAGAGUUUCUGAAAUAAUUCAAAAUAGAGGUAAGCUUAGAAGAGUGAAUGAGUUUCACUUCCAAAGAAGAUUGCCUGUAAUCACCCUGCUUACUUACCUUCUUCCACUCUGAAGCUGUCUGCAGUAGUUGGAAAAAGUGUAAUCUUAAAAAAUUCAGUAACAGUCACUGGCUGACUAUACCUGGGAUACCCUCCCUAUUCAGUGGUGCUCACAGUUUUUGGUGAUGCAUGGAGAUAAUUUCAGAUGUUUGCUUCUCUUAACUCCUGAGCACUUUUGCUUCUCACUGUAGAAUUCCAGAGACACAUCAGUAUAAAACUUGAUUUACAAGCCUCCUAGUAAUAGUUGCAGAUUAGAUAGAAAGCCAAACUAGACUGUACACAAGUCUGUAUAAAUCCCAAAACAGAGCUUUAAAAUAAUAACUUACUGAGUCAUGAUUUCUGCAUCUCAUAUGCAGUAUUCCUUAAAUCACAUGUUGAUGGCUAAUCAACAAAAUCCAAAGACGCAAAUUAGAUGGUACAAUAUUUACAGAGAAAAUAUAUGUGUAGUUUGAAAAGCAAGGAUUCUCAGGGUUACACUCCCACCCCUAUUCCCCCUAGAAAUGAUAGCAGUUGCAAUCUGAACUCUCAACAUUGUAGCCAAGAAAGGAAUGAAUAUAACAAUUUAAAAAAAGAGACUUAAGAUAGAACUUCUUAGUCAAAGGAGUCUGGACCUUCAAGAAAUAUGUUUAAGAAAGAUUCGGAAGAAAUACUAGGUAAGAUGAAUUAUUCCUUUUCCUCAAAUAGCAUUCUGGCAGUGUACUUGUUAAAUGUUUAUUUUGGCCAGGUGACAGAAUUCAGAAGAGCAGAAUCUUGUUUAGCUUGUCCACUGCUGAAUGCCUAGCACCCAGCAAAGUGCUUACACAAAUUAGGAGUAGGUGCUCAGCAAGUGUUUGUUGAAUGAAUAAGUGAAUGUGGUGGGGAGAAUGAAGCUAAAGUAAUGGUAUAGUGCAUUUGUAAGCAUUUAGCCCAUUUAUAAAAAUAUAGGUACUAAUUUUUUACCCAAUUCUUUUUUUUUUCAUUCAGCAGACCUACAAAAACAAAACAAAGUGUAUCACAAAUACCCUCUGCUUUUUAUGCUGAGGAAACAGAAAAGCUUUCUUUUGAUUGUAGGCUGCUACAUGUUUUAAUUCUAAUAGCAAUAUGGCAGGUCAACUUUGUAGUAUAAUCUGGUGCCUGUUUUUGAUAGAUAUCAUGGAAAUAGAUACUUAUUUUCAAGAUGCUCAAACAGAUGAUUAGGCGAAAGCUCUAGCAAACCUUGAAACAACAAAAAGAAAAGGUUUCCCACUCCCACCUCCCGUUGCUGUAACAUCCUGCACAGUUUUCUGCAACCCCACAUCCUCCUCCUUGUUUCAUCCUUUUCCUGGGUCUAGUCUUUGUCUAGGGAAUACAGCAUGUGACUGUCAGUCUAGCAAGGAGACAGUUCUUGAGAAAUCCACCCCCUACACACUGUGUUCCCAAGCUCCUCUUACGGGAAUGGCAUGAUUUGAUCAGCAGCAGGCAGAGCUGGCCCAGCGAAACAAGAGCUUGGCAUAGAAAUCGUAGUGCCCUCCUGCUGGUAGGGCCCUCAAGAGAGUUGCUUCAUGCCCACCCUCCCUCAACUGGCUGGACAGUAGAAGGAUGUGUAGGAAAACAAAUUCCUGGCUGAAUGAAUAGAGGAUUAAAUGAAUGAGAGAUGAGUUCACUCCUCCAGAAGUCCCCGCCAUCCCACUUGAAUAGAAAGGCUAACUUUGAAGCCACUCUGUUCUCCAUGGCGCUAUUUUGUGUAUACUCAGCUUUGGAAUAUGGUUGCCAUCUGCUGCCAGUGCUUAGGACUAAGGAAGUAUUGGGGUGGGGAGGAGGAGGCUGGGAGGGAAGAAAAGAGACACUUAAAAUGAGCUAAUGAUCUCCUUUGUGUUGGAGUCUAGGUUUCAGAGCAUCAGUCCUGUACUUCAAGAACAAAACACCAGUGUGUCUUAGACCACACCAGGCGCCUGCACAUCAGAUAAAGACUGUGCUGUGUGGUGUUCAGCCACUGGGCCUGGAGAAGUUCUAAAAGUGAAAUUACAGGUGCAAACUGAGGAAACUAAAAGGAGAAAAGGCCAAGGGUAAAAUACAAUUAGGAGGGCUCUGCAGAUAUGUGUCUUUGGGGUUACAGUAGUUGAAAAAUGAAUCUACUAAUUAAUGAGUUGGAUAAUACUAUAAAGACAAGGUAUGUAAGGAUCUUUAGAAGAAAUGACACACUUUUCCAUACACUCUGAGUACAUUGCAAGCCUUUAGUGUAAUCUCAAGGUGAAAGUGACCUGGCUGUUGUGUAUUGCUGUAGAUUUAACUAGAAGUGUUACAGAUUGCUAUACUAGAGGCAUGCAUGGUGCUCCUUUAAAAACAGAAAAGGCUGUUAAGCAAAGCCAUUAAGACAACUGAACAUCUCUGAAAGGCAGCGAAUAGCUCAUAGAGCUUCCUGGCUUCCCUGAUAUUGUUUGUAUAAAUUGUUGGGGGGUUUUGUUUGUUUGAGAGAGAGUCUCACUCUGUUGCCUAGGCUGGAGUGCAGUGGCAUGAUCUCAGUUCACUGCAACGUUUGCCUCCAGGGUUCAAGUGAUUUUCCUGCCUCAGCCUCCUGAGUAGCUGGAAUUACAGGCAUGCACCAUCAUGCCCAGCUAAUUCUGUGUUUUUAGAAGAGAUGGGGUUUCAUCAUGUUGGCUAGACUGGUCCCAAACUCCUGACCUCAAGCGAUCCACCCACCUCAGCCUCCCGAAGUUCUGGGAUUACAGGUGUGAGCCACCAGGCCUGGUCAAAUUGUUGGUUUUUGAUGCAAAAUCAUGUUAAUAAUUUAUGUACUGAAAUAACAUGCCAGAGAAUAAUAAUUAAGCUGCGGAUGUAUGCUAGUGAAAAAAAAAAUGACAGUGAAGUUUACUUUGGGAAAGGAUUAGCUAAUUCCCUAGGUAUGACAUUUGAAGGCCAUGUACUAUUAUAUGUUCAAUAGUAAUCCUGUAUCUUGAAUUGGAGGAAGGCAGAAAUUGUUUUUGCCAUGCAAGGGAAGAACCACAUCAGCGAUGUAGAUAAGUAUAAAUUUAGAGACAAUGACAAUCCUAGAAAUGCAAAAUACCACUUUAGGGAGCACUAAGUGAUUGCUGAGCAGUGUGUCACACUCAGUGCCUGGGAGCAGCAAAUCAGUACAUAUUUGUUGGCUGUGUAAGCUCUGGCCUAGACUCCUGUCUUCCAGCAGGAACCAGUCAUGCACAACUGUGACUCAGCCACAAUUAGAAUAUUAGUAAUGCAUUAAAUCUCUCUCAUGUACAGUUUCUCUUCCUAGAAACCUUAUGUCCCUCCAUAUUCUGUUUGUCCCUACAACAUCCCUGUGAAGCAUACGCACUGUCAUUUUACAGGUGGGAUAACAGAUCCACAAAGAAAUCAUUUAAUUCUUUGUCUUCAGAUGUGAAAUGAUUGAUAAUCAGUAUACUGAUCCAGCUCAUUGUACUGUUUUUCACAUUAUUUCAGCUUUCCUAGGCAAAGGACAUAUUUUAUCUUUCUCAUUAUUAUUUUUAAUUAGUUUUUAGAAAAGGUGAGAUAAAAACAGAAUCUAACAAAUAUCCCAUGGAGAUAUUUGGUGUUCUCUUUUCUUUCAAGAAUAAAUUAAGACCUUCUCUGCUCCUCUCUGCUGGCUCUCUCGGCAGAUAGUCAAAAUCCCAUGCCAAUUUUCAAAUGAAUAAGGGCUCAUUCUAAUAGCUGAUCACAGUCCCCUCUGUUGAGGAAACAGCCUUUUAAAUUCAUGUCUGUACCCUGAAUAAGUUACUUUUGGUUAUAAACUUUAACAGUUUGACCUGAAGAUUUCUAAACUGUACUAAUAUAUAACCUGGUUGUGAGUUCAGCAAUAAAUUUAUACCCAGCAUGUGAAGGGCCAAAGAGAAAACUAGCCUCUUUUAUUCUCUGGUGACCUCCACUAAAUAUUGUAUAUUUACUUUGCAAAUGAGGACACCCAGUGGCCACCAAGAGAAAGUAUUCUAAACAAUCCUUGACACCACUCUUAACACCCCGUUGUCAAUGCUGGAUCGAUAUUUCUGUAACAUCUGUUACCAAGCAGGUUAGCCUCCCUACUUGGGCAAAAGUAAUCGGAGUUUGGCCUGAUCAUUUUUAUAUCACAUCAUAGAUUGGUCAUCUCUUCUUAUUUUUUGUUACAAAAUAUGGCUUAGCUUUGGGUUCUACUGAAUCGUCUGUUGACAGGAGGACACAGUGAGCUGCCUCUCUGGGGAAAUGGAAUCAGGGAGAUAGAGACAGCAUGGCAUGUGUCAGAAAUCAAAUGAAAGACCAGAGUUUGUGGGAAACUCAGUGAACACAUAAGACAAUUGCUUGGACAUUAAAUUCAUAUUGAAAAUAGAGCUGUGGGUAGGUAGGGAAAUAAAGGACAAGAAGAACAUUACACAGAACUUCAGGGGCGGGAAAGCCCUCUCGGGGCCACACCAUGUAGACAUAUCUCAGAGUAAAUGUGUGUGAGGUUCCCACUUAUCAACAUGUUUGUGAAAUGCAGUGAAGAGCUCACCAGACAAGUGCUCACAUAGAACCUACACAUUAUAAGGAAGCAUGCUGGGCAGAAUUGGGGAUCCAGUUAUAAAUUUGUAGUUGUCACUGUAGUUGUGGUUAUAACAAGGUAAGAUACUAGCCUUUGGGAGGCUUUGAGUCUUAGAGAGAUAAUACAGACACAAAUGAAAAAGGGAAUAAAAGAGAACGUAACAUAUUGGUAAGAACUCAUGUGGUACAUGUGUGGGAAGUUCAGGUGAACUUCCCCAACAUGCCUCAACAUUCAGGUACAAAAGAAUUCCCUUAUUUUUCUAAGGAAAAUUAAACCUGAGGCCUCUGUCACAAAAUCGCAAGAAAUACAGUGACGUUUUGGGACUCUCUUCUCAUCCUAGAUUGGUACAAGACUCAUGAUCAGGUCCUUAGACCAUGGUGAUCUCCAUCAUUGACAUUGCUUGACUACCCCACAAAGAUGCCAUUGAGCCCGGUCCUUCUGUGAUUGCCAGCACUACUGCACUAGCUGGGUUUACAGAUGACCUCCACAGUGGUCUUUGCUGCUGACCAUUGGCCCAGCCCCCAGAUGAUUACUGUUCCUCUCAAAGCAGUGCCUUUUUAUGUC
Non-coding RNA from Callithrix jacchus (white-tufted-ear marmoset), 19532 nucleotides. NCBI's taxonomy places the organism in Eukaryota, Metazoa, Chordata, Mammalia, Primates, Cebidae. The record is from RefSeq and is a predicted model, not a curated record.